AUGAACGCUGGCGGCGUGCCUAAUACAUGCAAGUCGAGCGAACAGAUGAGGAGCUUGCUCCUCUGACGUUAGCGGCGGACGGGUGAGUAACACGUGGAUAACCUACCUAUAAGACUGGGAUAACUUCGGGAAACCGGAUCUAAUACCGGAUAAUAUAUUGAACCGCAUGGUUCAAUAGUGAAAGACGGUUUUGCUGUCACUUAUAGCUGGAUCCGCGCCGCAUUAGCUAGUUGGUAAGGUAACGGCUUACCAAGGCAACGAUGCGUAGCCGACCUGAGAGGGUGAUCGGCCACACUGGAACUGAGACACGGUCCAGACUCCUACGGGAGGCAGCAGUAGGGAAUCUUCCGCAAUGGGCGAAAGCCUGACGGAGCAACGCCGCGUGAGUGAUGAAGGUCUUCGGAUCGUAAAACUCUGUUAUUAGGGAAGAACAAAUGUGUAAGUAACUAUGCACGUCUUGACGGUACCUAAUCAGAAAGCCACGGCUAACUACGUG
Molecule: ribosomal RNA, 496 nt
Filed under: uncultured bacterium
Lineage: Bacteria
Description: partial 16S ribosomal RNA
Rfam family: Bacterial small subunit ribosomal RNA
Source: RNAcentral